This 856-nucleotide ribosomal RNA is filed under the name uncultured organism. Its description in RNAcentral is "bacterial SSU rRNA". It matches the Rfam family "Bacterial small subunit ribosomal RNA", at positions 25 to 852 of the family's 1533-position model. The record is from RNAcentral.
CAGAAUGAACGCUGGCGGCGUGCUUAACACAUGCAAGUCGAACGAGAAAUCUUUAGCUUGCUAGAGAAAGUAAAGUGGCGCACGGGUGAGUAACGCGUGGGUAAUCUGCCUCCGAAUCGGGGAUAACAUUGCGAAAGCGAUGCUAAUACCGGAUAAAAUCUGGUUGGCUUAGGUGAACCGGAUCAAAGGUGGUCUCUUUAUAAAAGCUACCGUUUGGAGAUGAGCUCGCGUACCAUUAGCUAGUUGGUGAGGUAAAGGCUCACCAAGGCGACGAUGGUUAGCUGGUCUGAGAGGAUGAUCAGCCACACCGGAACUGGAACACGGUCCGGACUCCUACGGGAGGCAGCAGUGAGGAAUUUUGCGCAAUGGGGGAAACCCUGACGCAGCAACGCCGCGUGAGUGAUGAAGGCUUUCGGGUCGUAAAGCUCUGUCAGGUGGGAAGAACCCACCAAGUGUUAAGACCACUUGGUGCUGACGGUACCACCGAAGGAAGCACCGGCUAACUCCGUGCCAGCAGCCGCGGUAAUACGGGGGGUGCGAGCGUUAUUCGGAAUCAUUGGGCGUAAAGGGCGCGCAGGCGGUUUUGUAAGUCAGAUGUGAAAUCCCGGGGCUUAACCCCGGAAGUGCAUAUGAAACUAUGAGACUUGAGUAUGGGAGAGGGAAGCGGAAUUCCUGGUGUAGCGGUGAAAUGCGUAGAUAUCAGGAGGAACACCGGUGGCGAAGGCGGCUUCCUGGACCAAUACUGACGCUGAGGCGCGAAGGCGUGGGGAGCGAACAGGAUUAGAUACCCUGGUAGUCCACGCAGUAAACGUUGAUCACUAGGUGUAGCGGGUAUUGAGCCCUGCUGUGCCGGAGU